CCCCGCCUAUUUCCCUUGCUGCGUGACUGUGAUUCUUCUCCGGAUGGUUUCCGAGCUGGGCGGCGGGAGGAGGCUUUAUCAUCAGAGAGAGUGUGUCCAGAGGGGGGAACAUUUUCCGGUCGUGGGGGUGGUCGCCUUCCGUUUGAAUUCGACGGCUUAUCGGCUGGCUUGUCAAGAGAGAGGUCUUCAAAUAAUUCUGCAACGUGUCCGGUCGACGGAGGAUCCGCUGAUGGAAGCUUUUCGGGUGACAUAUUCCCGGUUGAAGCAAGGAGUGAAGUCUGAGAUUCUGAGUCGUCGAGGAAUGGGUUUCUUGACACUGGGCGCUGCUGUCUCAGGGGAGGGCCUGUUGUGGAAGCGAACGAUGCCGAAGAGGCACGAUUUCUAAAGGGAUUAUUGGAUCCCAAAUUGACAGUCAAUCCCGGUGAGGGUUGCCGGUCUGGCACUGGUAUUGGGGCAAGAGACAUGAUGACAGGAGAUGAGUAUUAUUAAGGGCAAGGAGAAUGAAGUCACCGCGGCAGUGACAACCGGUUUCAGGUCGGAGAAAGAAAGACCAGCAGCAGGUGGGGAUCCUGUGAACCAACAGCCGGCCAACAAUCCUGAAAGCACGCGACAGGAACAGGCCCAGUAGCUGUGCUUCUUGUGUCUUCUUCCCUUUUUUAUUUGACAAUGACAGGAGGAUGGUGGGUCGUCGCGAUGUGUCUUUCUUCUCCUCGAAACCCUGGAACCGCCCGUUGUCGUCGGCAAGUUGGUUGGGGUCGGGCGACGAUCAGGGACAACUACGAGGAAACACGCAAACGACGGCACGGCGGACGAUGACGAGUGGCCGUCACAAAGCCAGGUCGAUUGGUGAUGUUAGGAGAAGCCUUCAACCCGCCAGGGCGAAUCAACGUCGCUUCUCGAACGUGAAACAAUCGGGGUGGUGGCCAAACAGCGCCUGAGGCUGGGUAUUAGGGUGGGGAAAACGAUGAUGGACGAAGCUGUCAAGACCAACUGAAAGAAAGACAGGUGGAUCAAACGAUUGAAUGGAUAGGCAUGCUUACCGGUGAGACUGAACGCCUCUGAUUGAUUUAAGGAGUGUACCGUCGGAGAAAACAAGGGGGGAACACGGAUCAAUAUGUUAGUGACGGGACACGAGGAUCCAUGGAUGGGGAAAAUGAAGGAGUAAACGCGGAACGGAUAAAGGGGCUGCUCUAGUUCACUUAUCAAGGUGCAGGCUAAAACAUGGCCUGCUUGCAGUCAUCGAUAAGCAAUAAGAACCUACAAUCUUCUGCCACCGCUGAACAGAGGGGAAUUUUGACAACAAUCAAUGCACGUAAUCUGUCAGCAACAUCGAGGUUCGUCCACGAUAGAGCAAUUGAUCACGCUGCUGCAAACAGACGGCGACUGGCGAGGUGAGCUACAUGAAAUUCGCCGUACGGAAUUUUGUGUAUCGAUGAAUAUUAUUUGACUGAAUUCCGAAGUUCCGAAUUAACGCACUAUAUAUAUGGAUUUUUACCUCUGCUUUGAUAAAUAGAAAUUCAACGUUAAUCCGUUACAUCAGAGCGCGGGAAGAUCCAUUUAAAUACUCUACGAUGUAAUUAAUAUGCUUCCGACCUAGGUAAUCUGCAAAAGAAAACAGGAAACUUGUUAGACCAACCCAAGCCCUUGAUUUUCCAUGAUCCUCAGUGCAAUGCAUCGAGAACUCUGCUCUACAACAGAAUUGUAUGUUCCAAUCCUGUUUAAGGGCAGGUAAGCCUCUUCAUUGACCUCAUAUGGCUCAAACCCUUUGCCUCGCCUGUUCAUCCCUUGCCUUUUCAAUGCCCCUAGGCCCUCAUGCUCAUAUCUCCCCUGCCAAGGUUCUGAUAUAAACUGCUGUGCUCGUAGGAUCCAGAGAGAUGGAUAUGCAAGGGGGAAAGAAGGGAAGAUCUGCGGAUUUGUUGCAUUAAUUGCCUGCGAACGGAAAACCACCAUGUUUGCAAUGCGAUUGUUCAACCACCCGGACGACUGGCAACGGUCCAUUUUGGAACUUGAUGAGGGAGAAAUGUAUUCUAUCCAUCAUAAUGCACUCAAAAAAAUACGUGUGUCGAAUCCGACCUGCAUUGACUACGGUUGCAAAGCAAGCUUACUACGUGGGGAAUCUAAACCUGCAAGCGAGAAGAGAAAACAACCCCAGUCAAUCAUCUACCAGCAUAAUGGGUGAGAUUGUCGAUCAACAAAUGAGAUAACUCUUGACCAAAUACAUUUUUCAGGGUUUCACAGCUGGACGGCGCGUUGAGCCUGAGUAUUUAUCAUCGGGUAUGAAAGGCUCCCCGCAAGAUGGAAGCAAUCGCGCUGAAAAUUGGAUAUCGAAGAUUUCAGAACGCUGCUUUUCACCCCUAACUCUGAUUUGAUGACUUACAUACUCUGGGAGGACUGGUGCAACUGGGCUGCUGCUUCGCAUCCAAAUGAUCCAGAGUAAUGAAUAGCUCGGGAUGUAAGCGACGGAUAUUUGCAAUGAAAGUGGUGGGAGGCCCGGGGCUGACGAUUGGACAACUGAAUUUAAUAAGGUGUACGGAGUAGGGCAUUUGAUUAUCAGGAAAUGCUUCAUCUGUUGUUAUAUUGUUAGUUAAUUAGUUAACUAUCCCUUCAUUCCUGACAUAACCAUGAUCCAAUAAAUAUCCUCCUCAACCUUUGGAGACAUGUAUGUAUACAGAUUACUUAUGUCUGUAUUUAAAUUAGACUUUGGCCUCACCAUCCCCAUACCAUGGGCC
RNAcentral lists this small RNA (2729 nucleotides) under Histoplasma capsulatum var. duboisii H88. Its description in RNAcentral is "Histoplasma capsulatum H88 hypothetical RNA". Lineage: Eukaryota; Fungi; Ascomycota; Eurotiomycetes; Onygenales; Ajellomycetaceae. The record is from RNAcentral.